AGCAUCACAAUCCUGGAGUGUCUGAACAAACUGGUUGUUAGGGAAUGCAUGGAUAGAUCAGGGCAGUAUAAAAGAUGAAAGAAUUUGGCGGCAAAAUAUGGUAAAUAUGUUUAAUUUUCAUUUUUCCACAGUUGUACAGAACAUUUUGGAAGUUGGAGACUCCUCUUGGGGAGCCCAAUUGAGGUUAUACCAGAUAGACAGAGCAAGCACCAAAUCAGCUGUGACAUCUCUGUGCUUUCAGUUCCUUAUGAAACUUCUCAGUCUGCUGUGAGCUGCAUCAGCAAUUUAACUGCCACCCACCUAGAGAAAGAAGUGAAGAACUGCAGUAGCCUCCCGCUCCAAGGAACUGUACUUGCCCAAACCUGCUUCUUGCAUUAAGAUCAAACUGCACGUGCCACAGUUGGAAAGAUGAGGUCUAUUGUGCUGUGUAGCCUUUGAUUAAAAGAUCACUGAUGGGUUACACAAAUUUCAAGUAAUAAGUAGCUGGUUAACACCUUGACGGUAUCCUACCUAUCUGUAUCCUGACUGGUCAGAUUAUGCCCUAUACUUCACAGCAGCACAAACUAAUAUGAACCAUCUCAAGCAGGUGAACAGUGGUAUUUCGACACCAGAGACACCAGGAAUUAAUAAAAAAUAUUAACAGGAACUUUAAGGACAUGUGGAGGCAAACUGAAGAACAGCACAGCUUUAACUUCAUCAAAAGAAAACUGAAGUAAAAGAAGUAUCCCAAAAUGCAGAAUAACACUGGCAUGGACAACACAGGGUUUAGUUUUAUGCAGAUUGAGUGCCAGUCUUGUGGGUAUAUACAGUUCCAUGCACCACUGUUUGCUUUUUUUUGUGUUCAUAUGUUUCAGACAGGUGUAGAGAUCUCAGACAUGACUUCAGUACAAAAUGGCAGAGUCUUAGCCCUAAGCCAUUAAAUAAAUAUCAGUAAGGUGAGACCUGACUGAUAGCGUUGGUACAAAUAUGCAGAGCCUUCAUGCAGUGAGUGACUUGUAUUGUGCUAACACGAUGGUCUAUAAGAGACUGGAAAAGAAAAGCAAUUGGUAAUAAAUCCAUGUGACAACAAACCAUUUUCCUUCCUGUACACUGUGUACCGGCUUGCGCCUGCUACCUGCAGAAUCACUGCAGUGCUACUGUAUUUCAGUGGGCCAGGAUCAGCCUUGUGAUAGCACUAAGCACAAGUUAUAAUGGAGGAAAACCUAGAGAAAUUAAUGUGCUGCAUGAUAAAAUAAUGCAUC
Long non-coding RNA from Rhea pennata, 1241 nucleotides. RefSeq lists it as uncharacterized. NCBI's taxonomy places the organism in Eukaryota, Metazoa, Chordata, Aves, Rheiformes, Rheidae. The record is from RefSeq and is a predicted model, not a curated record. The transcript has 5 exons.